Long non-coding RNA from Siniperca chuatsi (mandarin fish), 490 nucleotides. RefSeq lists it as uncharacterized. NCBI's taxonomy places the organism in Eukaryota, Metazoa, Chordata, Actinopteri, Centrarchiformes, Sinipercidae. The transcript has 2 exons. The record is from RefSeq and is a predicted model, not a curated record.
CACAUAGUCUUGGUGACCCCCACUUUGAGAAGCUUUGAUCGCUAGCCACAAAGUAAUCUAUCCAGUGGUCCAUAAGUAGUGUUUUUGCUGUAAAAGUAGAGGCAUUCCUGCAAACCUAUACACUCAAAAAAGUGUGUUUCUGUAAACACUGUUGGGUUGCUCAUGCUGGGUCAAAGGGGUUGUAAGGUGUUAUUCACAGCUGAACAGCUGGUUGGGUUACUUUGACCCAGCUGAUGGUUCAUUCAUUUUCCCGCUCUUCCAUUGUCGAAUUUUCUGGAUCCAUCGUUUGCAGUCAGAGGUUCGCACAACACGGUGGGCAGGAUUUUAUGGCUGUCUCCCUGCAGAAUGUGGACUGUGUGCUGCCACAUUGUGUCUCCAGACCUGCCAAACGUUGGUUUGGUUUCUGGUCCUUCACUUUUCUGUGCUGGAGUUUCUUUAAGAGCUUGAUGGCUACAUCCAACCCGAUAUUAAAUUUCUUCUCAUUAACUUG